UGAGUAACCUGCCCUUAACUCUGGGAUAAGCCUGGGAAACUGGUCUAAUACCGGAUAUGACUCCUCAUCGCAUGGUGGGGGGUGGAAAGCUUUUUUGUGGUUUUGGAUGGACUCGCGGCCUAUCAGCUUGUUGGUGAGGUAAUGGCUCACCAAGGCGACGACGGGUAGCCGGCCUGAGAGGGUGACCGGCCACACUGGGACUGAGACACGGCCCAGACUCCUACGGGAGGCAG
Molecule: ribosomal RNA, 233 nt
Filed under: uncultured bacterium
Lineage: Bacteria
Description: partial 16S ribosomal RNA
Rfam family: Bacterial small subunit ribosomal RNA
Source: RNAcentral